AAGAAAGAAGAAGCGCCCUCCAAUGACAGCGCCUGUGGGUGUCGUGACAAGGAGUUCCUGCCUAGAGGAUCCCGUGAGUGAGCGAGGCCUCAGAGACACCAGCGGCCCGGGAGCCUCCCUGGAGAUCUCCAUGGUUACCAACAGCAACCCAACUGUCCAUGCUGGGUUUGACCACAUCUCUCUUAAGACAGAAGGAUGGACCAGACAUCUUGGGGUUUCUCUGCGCCCUAGACUCCACAAGAGAAUCAAACAAAAGAAACUGUGUAUAUGAGGACCCUACCUGUUUAAAGUUGUCAGCCAGAAACACGAAAUAGACACAGCAGAAUCCCAGCUGAGUGACGAUCAGGAAGAAGUCCACGGUGCGCCUGGAGACGGGAGGGAGGAGUAGAAAGAUCAUCACGACACAGAUGCAAGACCCCAGAGAGACGGUGACUUAAAGGUGCUGCUGAAGUCAUCACAGACCCUUCCCAGCAGGUGGCGAGGACAAGCAUGUCCUGGUGAGGGAAGAAAUGUGUCCGUGCCCCCAGCCUGGAGCUUCGGGGAAGGAGAGGAGGCUCUGUCCUUGGGCUCCCAAGGUCCCUUUCCUGGUCCUCUGUCUAGACUGCUGCCUGAGGACAGGGAGUCAGCACAGCACAGCUCGGGCUCCGUGACCACAGUGCAGCCCCGACCUCCUCCUGGCCCACUGCCCACACGCCCCAUUUCAGGCAAAUAAAAGACCUGGAAGAACACCCUUCAUGGGAUCGUCCUAUAACCUGUACCCAAAAACUGACCUAAAUGUUCCCAAACCGACAGCUGGUGGGAGGACAGUUAUGCAAUAGCUGACAACAACCUAAAGGGCCAUCCUCAGGAAAGCAAUUAAAUUAUAGACCAUUCCUAAAUGGGGCACUGUUUAGCAGCUGGAAAGAGUGUAUUAGGUCAUAAAAUUUGUUUAUUUA
Long non-coding RNA from Heterocephalus glaber (naked mole-rat), 935 nucleotides. RefSeq lists it as uncharacterized. The record is from RefSeq and is a predicted model, not a curated record. Lineage: Eukaryota; Metazoa; Chordata; Mammalia; Rodentia; Bathyergidae.